Molecule: small RNA, 267 nt
Filed under: Arabidopsis thaliana (thale cress)
Lineage: Eukaryota; Viridiplantae; Streptophyta; Magnoliopsida; Brassicales; Brassicaceae
Description: ATSL194040
Source: RNAcentral
ACUAAAAGGAAUUUUAAAAGGUUUUAACGAUUUACAAGGGAUUUUAAAAGGUUUUAAAAGAUUUACAAGGGAUUUUAAAAGGGUUUUAAAAAAUUUACAAAGAAUUUUAAAAGGCUUUUAAAAGAUUUACAAGGGAUUUUAAAACGUUUUUAAAAGAUUUACAAGGGAUUUUAAAAGGGUUUUAAAAGAUUUACAAGGGAUUUUAAACCUCUUGUAAAUCUUUUUAAAACCUUGUAAAUCUUGUAAAUCUCUUAUAAAUCUUUUUAA